GGCUGAAAUUCGCCUUCAUGAAGCUGGAAUUGCUAGUAAUGGCAGGUCAGCAUACUGCCGUGAAUACGUUCCCGGGCCUUGUACACACCGCCCGUCACACCAUGAGAGUUGGAAAUACCCGAAGCCUGUGAGCUAACAGUAAUGAGGCAGCAGUCGAAGGUAGAGCCAAUGAUUGGGGUGAAGUCGUAACAAGGUACC
This 198-nucleotide ribosomal RNA is filed under the name uncultured bacterium. Its description in RNAcentral is "partial 16S ribosomal RNA". It matches the Rfam family "Bacterial small subunit ribosomal RNA", at positions 1303 to 1500 of the family's 1533-position model. The record is from RNAcentral.